Molecule: ribosomal RNA, 400 nt
Filed under: uncultured bacterium
Lineage: Bacteria
Description: bacterial SSU rRNA
Rfam family: Bacterial small subunit ribosomal RNA
Source: RNAcentral
GACGAACGCUGGCGGCGUGCUUAACACAUGCAAGUCGAACGGUGAACCACUUCGGUGGGGAUCAGUGGCGAACGGGUGAGUAACACGUGGGCAACCUGCCCUUAGCUCUGGGAUAACCCCGGGAAACCGGGGCUAAUACCGGAUACGACCUCGAGCGGCAUCACUCGAGGUGGAAAGAACUUCGGCUAAGGAUGGGCCCGCGGCCUAUCAGCUUGUUGGUGGGGUAAUGGCCUACCAAGGCGACGACGGGUAGCCGGCCUGAGAGGGCGACCGGCCACACUGGGACUGAGACACGGCCCAGACUCCUACGGGAGGCAGCAGUGGGGAAUAUUGCGCAAUGGGCGAAAGCCUGACGCAGCGACGCCGCGUGAGGGACGAAGGCCUUCGGGUCGUAAACCUC